UAUCUCAAUUGGUAAAGAAUCUGCCUGCAAUGCAGGAGACCGGGGUUCGAUCCCUG
Molecule: transfer RNA, 56 nt
Filed under: Bos taurus (domestic cattle)
Lineage: Eukaryota; Metazoa; Chordata; Mammalia; Artiodactyla; Bovidae
Also listed under: 1 other name
Rfam family: tRNA
About the family: Transfer RNA (tRNA) molecules are approximately 80 nucleotides in length. Their secondary structure includes four short double-helical elements and three loops (D, anti-codon, and T loops).
Source: Rfam by way of RNAcentral